This 253-nucleotide ribosomal RNA is filed under the name uncultured bacterium. Its description in RNAcentral is "partial 16S ribosomal RNA". It matches the Rfam family "Bacterial small subunit ribosomal RNA", at positions 524 to 776 of the family's 1533-position model. The record is from RNAcentral.
GACGUAGGGCGCGAGCGUUGUCCGGAUUUAUUGGGCGUAAAGAGCUCGUAGGCGGUUUGUCGCGUCUGCUGUGAAAACCCGAGGCUCAACCUCGGGCCUGCAGUGGGUACGGGCAGACUAGAGUGCGGUAGGGGAGAUUGGAAUUCCUGGUGUAGCGGUGGAAUGCGCAGAUAUCAGGAGGAACACCGAUGGCGAAGGCAGAUCUCUGGGCCGUAACUGACGCUGAGGAGCGAAAGCAUGGGGAGCGAACAGG